This 301-nucleotide ribosomal RNA is filed under the name uncultured bacterium. RNAcentral describes it as "partial 16S ribosomal RNA". It matches the Rfam family "Bacterial small subunit ribosomal RNA", at positions 509 to 807 of the family's 1533-position model. The record is from RNAcentral.
CAGUAGCCGCGGUAAUACAGAGGGUGCGAGCGUUAAUCGGAUUUACUGGGCGUAAAGCGUGCGUAGGCGGCUUUUUAAGUCGGAUGUGAAAUCCCUGAGCUUAACUUAGGAAUUGCAUUCGAUACUGGGAAGCUAGAGUAUGGGAGAGGAUGGUAGAAUUCCAGGUGUAGCGGUGAAAUGCGUAGAGAUCUGGAGGAAUACCGAUGGCGAAGGCAGCCAUCUGGCCUAAUACUGACGCUGAGGUACGAAAGCAUGGGGAGCAAACAGGAUUAGAUACCCGAGUAGUCCCUGACUCUUAUAC